CCUACGGGUGGCUGCAGUGAGGAAUAUUGGUCAAUGGCCGCAGGGCUGAACCAGCCAAGUCGCGUGAGGGAUGACGGUCCUAUGGAUUGUAAACCUCUUUUGUCAGGGAGCAAAGGGUGCCACGUGUGGCGUUUUGCGAGUACCCGAAGAAAAAGCAUCGGCUAACUCCGUGCCAGCAGCCGCGGUAAUACGGGGGAUUCGAGCGUUAUCCGGAGUUCUUGGGUUUAUAGGGUGCGCAGGCGGAAUGUCAAGUCAGCGGUAAAAUUUCGGGGCUCAACCCCGUCGUGCCGUUGAAACUGGCGUUCUUGAGUGAGCGAGAGGUAUGCGGAAUGCGUGGUGUAGCGGUGGAAUGCAUAGAUAUCACGAAGAACACC
Molecule: ribosomal RNA, 374 nt
Filed under: uncultured bacterium
Lineage: Bacteria
Description: partial 16S ribosomal RNA
Rfam family: Bacterial small subunit ribosomal RNA
Source: RNAcentral